GUGUCAGCAGCCGCGGUAAUACGGAGGGGGCUAGCGUUGUUCGGAAUUACUGGGCGUAAAGCGCACGUAGGCGGCGAUUUAAGUCAGAGGUGAAAGCCCGGGGCUCAACCCCGGAAUAGCCUUUGAGACUGGAUUGCUUGAACAUCGGAGAGGUGAGUGGAAUUCCGAGUGUAGAGGUGAAAUUCGUAGAUAUUCGGAAGAACACCAGUGGCGAAGGCGGCUCACUGGACGAUUGUUGACGCUGAGGUGCGAAAGCGUGGGGAGCAAACAGGAUUAGAAACCCCUGUAGUCC
RNAcentral lists this ribosomal RNA (292 nucleotides) under uncultured bacterium. Its description in RNAcentral is "partial 16S ribosomal RNA". It matches the Rfam family "Bacterial small subunit ribosomal RNA", at positions 505 to 796 of the family's 1533-position model. The record is from RNAcentral.